AUGGCGACGCUGGCGCAUCCUGGCGUCGCUCCCGCGGGAAGGUCCCGCACGGCGUCCCGGCAACGGCGGGAACCGGGGAAGGGACACCCCGCGAUCCCCCCGGCUCCGCCGUCCCGGAUCCUUCCCUGGGAGGGAAUGCCGGCUCCGCAGUGCCGGGAAGACCCUGCGAUCCCCCGGGAAAAGAAAUCCCGGCUGCGGUGUCGCAGGAAUUCCAGGCAGGACAACAUGGAGCCUUUUCCUCUCUCUGAGCUGGGGCUUCCGACAGAAAACAAGGCCAUCCAGGGAAUUCUCUGCCCCAUGGCUGUGGAGCUCUGCCACCUCAUCCUCGCCCUGGAACGGGAAGAUGGGAUUUGUCCGGCCUUUCCCAAUCUGGGGGAAAAGGCGGAAGAAUUAGCCAAAGCCAUGGAAGAACUCGCUGCUCUGGCAAGGAGGCUGUCCGAGGAUUCCGGCCAGGAAGGGAGCACGGAGGUGUGUCCCGUGGGUGAAUCCCUGGUCCAGGCUGGGAGGGACGUGGUGCUGGCAGCAUUCCAGCUCCAGGAGCAUCCCGACAGCCCUCGGCACCGGGAGCACCUGGCAGCGGCCACCAGGAGGGUCCUGGUGGAGACAGCAAAGAUCCUUCAGCUGGAAGAGGCUGCAGGGAUGAGGAGGAUAACUGGGGCUGCCAGCUGGCUCCUGGAAUGCCUGAGAGUGCUGCGGGAUGCCCGGGACGCUCCAGGGCUGCUGGCGGCAUUCCAGGCCUUUUCCGAGGCCGUGCUCCUGCUCAGCCGCCUGGCAGCCGAGCGCCUCCAGGAACUCGGAGACUGUCCUGGCUGGAAGAGCCUGGCACAGACCCUGCAGCUGCUCCACAAAUGUGUCCCCCUCAUCCGCACAGCCAAGCACAGCGCCCUGACACAUUCCAGGGAUUGCCAAGCUGACCUCUCCCAAGAUUCUGUUUUCCAGCUGACAGAGAGGACCAUCGGGGAGCUCCUCUCCCUGCUCAUGGAGCCACGGGACAGGAGCGGGAUCUUCUCCCGGCACGUGAGCAGGCUCCAGGCUCUCCUCUCCCACCCCGACCCCCUGCGCCUCUCCGAGGGCGGGUUCAGCUCCCACCUGGAAGCGGUCAUCCUCCAUGGAAUGCUGCUGGCAGAGUCAGCCAGGCUGGAUCUGCAGCUGGAGCUGGUGGAAUGCUGCUGGGUCCUGCUGCAGCUGAGGAGGAGCAUCUGCAGCCACAUGAGCCAGAGGGAGGAACAGCCAGGACCGAUCCAGGGAGAACACAGACUGGAGCGGGAAUGUCACAGCCUGAGGGCCGAGCUGGAAAACCUGGAGCGGGCAGUGCUCAGGGCCACGCUGUGCCAAAUCCUGGAUGGAUUCUUCCAGGAGAAGGAGCCGCUGAGGCAGCUGGUUGAAGGUGCCCUUAGCCUUGCUGGUUCUGGAUGUUUUCCAGCAGGACCAGGAGGGAUUUUAAGGAAGCUCCAGCCCCUCAUUGCUGCCUUCUUUGCCCAGGCCCAGCGGAUGCUCCGAGCGGCCGAUCUGGUCCUGGCCAGGUGCGCCAAGGCCCAAACUGCCAGGGAAAUCUGGGAGGGCGUGGAGCACCUGCGGAGCCUCCUGGCCAGCCUCCCUUCCCUGCUCAUGGAAACAAGCGGGAAUGCCAUGGAGCAGCUCCAGGCCCUGCGCUGUGCCUGGGCCAGAGCCACCGACCGCCUCCUGUGCUGCUUUGAGGAGACUGUCAGCAUGGGGGAAUUCCUUGAGUUAUCCAUCCUGGAGCUGGCCAAGCACAGGGAAUGGUGCGCAGCGGCGCUGGAAUGCCGGGAUCCCGAGGGAUUCUCCUGGCACGCUGCUCGCCUCACAGGCUGGGCCCGCUGGGUGCUUGGAGCCACCACCCGGCACGUGGACAGGGCCACGGAUCCCAUCUUCAGGAACGGUUUGCUGGUGUGGGUGGAGCGAUUGGCCAAGUCCAUCCUGGAGCUGGGAGCAGUCACGGCCCUCCUUCCAGGAAGGUUUUCCUGCCUGCAAAGCCGGGAUGCCUUUUCCCAGGCAGCGAGCUCCCUGAUGGACUCUGCUCUCCGUGUCCAAGCCGGGCUGGAUGGGUCCAACCACCCGGAGAUCCUCAGCCCGCUCCGGGAGCAAGUGAGGAGCUCCAAGGUGGAAAAGGGGCUGGAGCUCAGCCCAUCCUACACUGGGAUACGAACCAGUAUGGAUGAGGCAGUGUUCCAAGGAGGCAUCCAAAGUCACCCAUCACACCUGGAUCCACACCCUGUCAUCGCAGCUCUCCUGGGAGCAUCCCGAGCCGGUGACAUGGACACUGUCCGUGCUGCUUGCUCUGUCCUGCUGGAGCUCGCCGAUGGCUGUGUGGAAGCAGCACGGGAGGCGCUGCCCGUGGCCGAGCCCCCCCAGCUCCGGGUGCUGGAGCAGCACCGGGAUAUCACAGCACUGACCUCACAGAUCGUCAGCCUGGCCAUGGAAACGGCCCCCAGGCAGCCCCCGGCUCCAGGCAGCCUUCUCCAACUGGCACUCAGGCUCUCGGGAAGGAUCCGCCAGACUCGGGAGUGCCUGGCAGCCAUGGCGGGCUCUUGGAAUGGUCUGGCCCAGCAAGUGCUUGGGUUUAUCCUGUCGGGUGACUUUCCAAGAGGGAAGCAGGCUUUGGAUGAGACCAUGCUGGGUUUAGGAGGUGCAGUGCAGCUGGCAGGAGACAUUGCAAGCAUGGCCUGCAGUAAGGAAAAUCCCAGUCCCUCCGAUGUCCGGGAGAGCUUUCUGCAGCUCCAAGACAAGUUCUCCUGUGCUCAGCUGAACACCAAAGUGUUCCUGGAGCAGGCAGCGUCCUUCAGGGAAUCCUGUGGGAUGGAAAAGGCCACCCUGGAGCUGCACGGAGUCCGGUGGGCCGUUGGCAUGUGUGUCCUGCUGGAUGCCGUGGAUCAGUUUGUGGGCAGGGAUGUCCUGUUCCUGAGGGAGCUGAGCAGAGCCGUGAGGAACAAGGUUGGCCCACGGAGCCUUCUGGCUGCCAUGGCUGAGAAUUCCCUGAGGCUGCAGGAGGCCGCCCGGCUUUCCUACUUAUCCUGCCCUGGAGACCGCGGUGCCAGAGAAAUCCUGGCACUCCGGGAGGAGAUCCAGGUGCUCAUGGAAGCACUGCUGGAUGUGUCCAACACCCUCCUGCUCUCCGCGCUGCCUGCUGCCAGCUUGGCCAUCCGCUUUGAGCUCCUGCGCAGGGAUGUGGCCCUCAGGGCCAAAGCAUUGUUGCUCCACAUGGAAAGGGUCAACAUGGAACAGCUGCAGCUCAUCCAAGAUGUGGUUGGAGCAUCCCUGUCCACCCUCUCCCAAGAGGAAAGGGAGAGGAGCAAAGAGGCCUUUGAAGAAAAGGCCACUCGGCUCAUGGCUGAUGUCCAGUGGGUCAGGAACACCCUCCAGGAUGCUCCAGAGGCCGGGGCUCAACUUCCACCGCAGCCCGACCUGCUGUCCGUGGCUGACCACCUCCUGCUCCUCACGGCUGAUGUGGUGGGAAGCACCCGGCGGCACUUCUGGAGCCACCAGGACACUGGGAAUCCCUGCCAGGACACUGGGAAUCCCCGGCUGGACACGGUGGUGUGGUACUGGUCAGCCAAGGCACACUACCUUGUCACGCAGCUCCGGCUUAUCCAGGGAAUGGACAGGGACAUCCUGCGGCGCCUCACAGAAUGCCUGCAGCGGGAGCGCUUCCCGGGAUCACCCAACGGCACAGCCGGGCUCUCCCCAGCCCCAGAGCCCAGUGAGGCAGCGGGAAUUCAUCCACGCAGGAGCGGAGAAGCGAGCGGAGCCGUGCGGGAAGUGGGUGAGCUGAAACACCCAGGUGGAGGAGACCACUCAGCAUCGCUGCGUCCACACGUUCCAGGCUUGGAAUGUGCUCCGUUAUUGUCCCGACAGCACCGGGAUGGCCCUUCCAGCAUCUCCCCUGCAAAGCAGGAGAGAGGGAACUGUGACACGCGGCAGGGUGGCCCCAGCAAGGUGUCCCAGGUCAUCCAGGACAUGGCCACGAGGAUGCUCCACAUGGCUCAGUUCCUGCGGAGGAAGGGCCCCAUUGCGAGCAAGGAGCAGUUUGUUGCCUGUGCCAGGCAGAUGGCUGCCGACGGGCAGGUGGUUGUUAAGUUUGGGAACAUCCUCACCAAGCACUGCCUGGAUCGGAGAUGCUCCAUGGAGCUGCUCCGCGCUGCCGAGCACACCCAAUCCGUCAGCAGCCAGCUCGGCAUCGUGGCCAGGGUGAAAGCAGUGACUGGGGAGAGCAAGGCCUCCUCUGAGCUGCUGCUGAGCAACGUGCAGAACCUCAUCCGAGCGGUCCAGCACGUCCUGAGGGCGGCCGAGGCGGCGUGUGUCAAAGGUUUGGGACAAGCCUCAGUUGACCCUGAAGAAGAAGAAGUUGCUGCUUUCUGCCAGCAGUGGAGGAAAAACCUGACACAGCACAGAGCCAAGGAGGCUUUAAAUUCCGACCGGGAUGAAUUAGGGCUCCGGAAAACUCGGGGGGCAAAGGCUGAGCCCACCCUGAUGUCUCUGGUGCAAGAACAACCCUCUCAGAGCAGGAAUAUCCCAAAGCAUCCCAGUCCUAGGAAAGGACACACAGUUAUGGACAGACACCUGUAA
RNAcentral lists this long non-coding RNA (4584 nucleotides) under Corvus moneduloides (New Caledonian crow). RNAcentral's name for it is "lncRNA (ENSCMUG00000002964.2)". The record is from RNAcentral. Lineage: Eukaryota; Metazoa; Chordata; Aves; Passeriformes; Corvidae.